RNAcentral lists this unclassified non-coding RNA (225 nucleotides) under Hevea brasiliensis (rubber tree). Lineage: Eukaryota; Viridiplantae; Streptophyta; Magnoliopsida; Malpighiales; Euphorbiaceae. The record is from RNAcentral.
GGGAUGCUGCCCUCGGCUUCCCCAAGUCCUUCUACAACUUUAAGCUUCAUAUUUAAAAUAGGAUGUAACUAAGAGGUCAUCCAUCUACUAGCGUGAUAGAUGGUGAUCUUAAGAAGAAGUAUGAUCCGUACAGGGUUACCUUCUCAUUCAUUCCCGUUGAAGGUAAAGAAAGCGAGCAAGGCCAAGUUUGAGCCACUGACUCUGGCAACCCCUCUGCCGGAGAAA